GAUGAACGCUGGCGGCGUGCCUAAUACAUGCCAGUCGAGCGAACAGACGAGGAGCUUGCUCCUCUGACGUUAGCGGCGGACGGGUGAGUAACACGUGGAUAACCUACCUAUAAGACUGGGAUAACUUCGGGAAACCGGAGCUAAUACCGGAUAAUAUAUUGAACCGCAUGGUUCAAUAGUGAAAGACGGUUUUGCUGUCACUUAUAGAUGGAUCCGCGCCGCAUUAGCUAGUUGGUAAGGUAACGGCUUACCAAGGCAACGAUGCGUAGCCGACCUGAGAGGGUGAUCGGCCACACUGGAACUGAGACACGGUCCAGACUCCAACGGGAGGCAGCAGUAGGGAAUCUUCCGCAAUGGGCGAAAGCCUGACGGAGCAACGCCGCGUGAGUGAUGAAGGUCUUCGGAUCGUAAAACUCUGUUAUUAGGGAAGAACAAAUGUGUAAGUAACUAUGCACGUCUUGACGGUACCUAAUCAGAAAGCCACGGCUAACUACGUG
RNAcentral lists this ribosomal RNA (497 nucleotides) under uncultured bacterium. RNAcentral describes it as "partial 16S ribosomal RNA". It matches the Rfam family "Bacterial small subunit ribosomal RNA", at positions 28 to 507 of the family's 1533-position model. The record is from RNAcentral.